AGUGAACGCUGGCGGUAGGCCUAACACAUGCAAGUCGAACGGCAGCACAGGAGAGCUUGCUCUCUGGGUGGCGAGUGGCGGACGGGUGAGGAAUACAUCGGAAUCUACUCUGUCGUGGGGGAAACGUAGGGAAACUUACGCUAAUACCGCAUACGACCUACGGGUGAACGAAGGGGAUCUUCGGACCUUGCGCGAUUGAAUGAGCCGAUGUCGGAUUAGCUAGUUGGCGGGGUAAAGGCCCACCAAGGCGACGAUCCGUAGCUGGUCUGAGAGGAUGAUCAGCCACACUGGAACUGAGACACGGUCCAGACUCCUACGGGAGGCAGCAGUGGGGAAUAUUGGACAAUGGGCGCAAGCCUGAUCCAGCCAUACCGCGUGGGUGAAGAAGGCCUUCGGGUUGUAAAGCCCUUUUGUUGGGAAAGAAAUCCAGCUGGCUAAUACCCGGUUGGGAUGACGGUACCCAAAGAAUAAGCACCGGCUAACCUCGUGCCAGCCGCCGCCGUAA
This 505-nucleotide ribosomal RNA is filed under the name uncultured bacterium. Its description in RNAcentral is "partial 16S ribosomal RNA". It matches the Rfam family "Bacterial small subunit ribosomal RNA", at positions 29 to 523 of the family's 1533-position model. The record is from RNAcentral.